GACGACGCUGGCGGCGUGGAUUAGGCAUGCAAGUCGAACGGUAUCAUCCUUUCGGGGGUGAGGAGAGUGGCGAACUGGUGAGUAACACGUAGGUUAUCUACCCUCAAGACGGGGACAACCCAGGGAAACUUGGGCUAAUACCGGAUGUGAGCAACUUUUAGUUGUUUGAAAGGUGGCGUAAGCUGUCGCUUGGGGAUGAGCCUGCGUCCUAUUAGUUAGUUGGUGAGGUAACGGCUCACCUAGGCAAUGAUAGGUAGGCGGCCUUAACGGGUGGUCGCCCACACUGGGAUUGAGAUACGGCCCAGACUCCUACGGGAGGCAGCAGUCGAGAAUAGUCUACAAUGGUCGGAAGACUGAUAGUGCGACGCCGCGUGAACGAUGAAUCCCUUCGGGGUGUAAAGUUCUUUUAUAUGUGAGCAGUGCUUCUUAUAUUAACAGUAUGGGGAGAGAGAUAUUAGCAUAUGAAUAAGCAACGGCUAACUCCGUG
Molecule: ribosomal RNA, 487 nt
Filed under: uncultured bacterium
Lineage: Bacteria
Description: bacterial SSU rRNA
Rfam family: Bacterial small subunit ribosomal RNA
Source: RNAcentral